Molecule: ribosomal RNA, 504 nt
Filed under: uncultured fungus
Lineage: Eukaryota; Fungi
Description: SSU rRNA
Rfam family: Eukaryotic small subunit ribosomal RNA
Source: RNAcentral
GAUUCAUAAUAACUUAACGAAUCGCAUGGCCUUGUGCCGGCGAUGGUUCAUUCAAAUUUCUGCCCUAUCAACUUUCGAUGGUAGGAUAGUGGCCUACCAUGGUUUCAACGGGUAACGGGGAAUUAGGGUUCUAUUCCGGAGAGGGAGCCUGAGAAACGGCUACCACAUCCAAGGAAGGCAGCAGGCGCGCAAAUUACCCAAUCCCGACACGGGGAGGUAGUGACAAUAAAUACUGAUACAGGGCUCUUUUGGGUCUUGUAAUCGGAAUGAGUACAAUUUAAAUCCCUUAACGAGGAACAAUUGGAGGGCAAGUCUGGUGCCAGCAGCCGCGGUAAUUCCAGCUCCAAUAGCGUAUAUUAAAGUUGUUGCAGUUAAAAAGCUCGUAGUUGAACCUUGGGCCUGGCUGGCCGGUCCGCCUCACCGCGUGCACUGGUCCGGCCGGGCCUUUCCUCCUGGGGAACCGCAUGCCCUUCACUGGGUGUGCUGGGGAACCAGGACUUUUAC